CAUCCUCCAAGGCUAAAUACUCCUGACUGACCGAUAGUGAACCAGUACCGUGAGGGAAAGGCGAAAAGAACCCCGGCGAGGGGAGUGAAAAAGAACCUGAAACCGUGUACGUACAAGCAGUGGGAGCCCCACCACUAAGCCAGUGGUGAACUUCACAUACGCAUCCUUUGCUGAGGAUACGGUUAACGGAGCGAAAGCGACGUUCAACCUCAAAAGAAGCAGAGGGGGCUUAGUGGUGGGGUGACUGCGUACCUUUUGUAUAAUGGGUCAGCGACUUAUAUUCUGUAGCAAGGUUAACCGAAUAGGGGAGCCGGAGGGAAACCGAGUCUUAAUUGGGCGUUAAGUUGCAGGGUAUAGACCCGAAACCCGGUGAUCUAGCCAUGGGCAGGUUGAAGGUUGGGUAACACUAACUGGAGGACCGAACCGACUAAUGUUGAAAAAUUAGCGGAUGACCUGUGGCUGGGGGUGAAAGGCCAAUCAAACCGGGAGAUAGCUGGUUCUCCCCGAAAGCUAUUUAGGUAGCGCCUCGUGAACUCAUCUCCGGGGGUAGAGCACUGUUUCGGCUAGGGGGCCAUCCCGGCUUACCAACCCGAUGCAAACUGCGAAUACCGGAGAAUGUUAUCACGGGAGACACACGGCGGGUGCUAACGUCCGUCGUGAAGAGGGAAACAACCCAGACCGCCAGCUAAGGUCCCAAAGUCAUGGUUAAGUGGGAAACGAUGUGGGAAGGCCCAGACAGCCAGGAUGUUGGCUUAGAAGCAGCCAUCAUUUAAAGAAAGCGUAAUAGCUCACUGGUCGAGUCGGCCUGCGCGGAAGAUGUAACGGGGCUAAACCAUGCACCGAAGCUGCGGCAGCGA
RNAcentral lists this ribosomal RNA (857 nucleotides) under Salmonella enterica subsp. enterica. Its description in RNAcentral is "partial 23S ribosomal RNA". It matches the Rfam family "Bacterial large subunit ribosomal RNA", at positions 454 to 1211 of the family's 2925-position model. Lineage: Bacteria; Pseudomonadati; Pseudomonadota; Gammaproteobacteria; Enterobacterales; Enterobacteriaceae. The record is from RNAcentral.